RNAcentral lists this ribosomal RNA (741 nucleotides) under Rothia mucilaginosa. Its description in RNAcentral is "bacterial SSU rRNA". It matches the Rfam family "Bacterial small subunit ribosomal RNA", at positions 28 to 776 of the family's 1533-position model. Lineage: Bacteria; Bacillati; Actinomycetota; Actinomycetes; Micrococcales; Micrococcaceae. The record is from RNAcentral.
GACGAACGCUGGCGGCGUGCUUAACACAUGCAAGUCGAACGAUGAAGCCUAGCUUGCUAGGUGGAUUAGUGGCGAGCGGGUGAGUAAUACGUGAGUAACCUACCUUUAACUCUGGGAUAAGCCCGGGAAACUGGGUCUAAUACCGGAUACGACCAAUCUCCGCAUGGGGUGUUGGUGGAAAGCGUUAUGUAGUGGUUAUAGAUGGGCUCACGGCCUAUCAGCUUGUUGGUGAGGUAACGGCUCACCAAGGCGACGACGGGUAGCCGGCCUGAGAGGGUGACCGGCCACACUGGGACUGAGACACGGCCCAGACUCCUACGGGAGGCAGCAGUGGGGAAUAUUGCACAAUGGGCGCAAGCCUGAUGCAGCGACGCCGCGUGAGGGAUGACGGCCUUCGGGUUGUAAACCUCUGUUAGCAGGGAAGAAGAGAGAUUGACGGUACCUGCAGAGAAAGCGCCGGCUAACUACGUGCCAGCAGCCGCGGUAAUACGUAGGGCGCGAGCGUUGUCCGGAAUUAUUGGGCGUAAAGAGCUUGUAGGCGGUUUGUCGCGUCUGCUGUGAAAGGCCGGGGCUUAACUCCGUGUAUUGCAGUGGGUACGGGCAGACUAGAGUGCAGUAGGGGAGACUGGAAUUCCUGGUGUAGCGGUGGAAUGCGCAGAUAUCAGGAGGAACACCGAUGGCGAAGGCAGGUCUCUGGGCUGUAACUGACGCUGAGAAGCGAAAGCAUGGGGAGCGAACAGG